CCAGUUAUUAGUCUAACCGAUCUGACCGACCAAUCCUAUCUAAUUCAAACAACCAUGUUGCAAGCUUGUUACCUCUUCAAGUGCGACAGUCGAGAGACGAAACCCUCAUACAGGAUAAUACCAAACUUAUUGAAGAGUCUAUCAACUCCGAGUGAAUGACAAUUCGUAAACUUGACUUUUUUUCAGAAAAAUAAUCGAAAAUCCC
Molecule: long non-coding RNA, 205 nt
Filed under: Gossypium raimondii (Peruvian cotton)
Lineage: Eukaryota; Viridiplantae; Streptophyta; Magnoliopsida; Malvales; Malvaceae
Description: long non-coding RNA (GRAI_LNC005975)
Source: RNAcentral